Molecule: ribosomal RNA, 376 nt
Filed under: Chryseobacterium sp. CPC1
Lineage: Bacteria; Pseudomonadati; Bacteroidota; Flavobacteriia; Flavobacteriales; Weeksellaceae
Description: partial 16S ribosomal RNA
Rfam family: Bacterial small subunit ribosomal RNA
Source: RNAcentral
UCGGGAUCUUGAGAGCGGCGUACGGGUGCGGAACACGUGUGCAACCUGCCUUUAUCUGGGGGAUAGCCUUUCGAAAGGAAGAUUAAUACCCCAUAAUAUACUGAAUGGCAUCAUUCGGUAUUGAAAACUCCGGUGGAUAGAGAUGGGCACGCGCAAGAUUAGAUAGUUGGUGAGGUAACGGCUCACCAAGUCUACGAUCUUUAGGGGGGCGGGAGGGGGGGAUCCCCCACACUGGUACUGAGACACGGACCAGACUCCUACGGGAGGCAGCAGUGAGGAAUAUUGGACAAUGGGGGAAGGCUGAUCCAGCCAUCCCGCGUGAAGGACGACGGCCCUAUGGGUUGUUAAACUUCUUUUGUUUAGGAUAAACCUACCC